Molecule: small RNA, 568 nt
Filed under: Oryza sativa Japonica Group (Japanese rice)
Lineage: Eukaryota; Viridiplantae; Streptophyta; Magnoliopsida; Poales; Poaceae
Description: sRNA Os11g0156100
Source: RNAcentral
AACAUACAUAGGAUGUGGUUUUUCAUGGGAUAAAUGGAGUAUGCAGCUGCAGCAGAGGUGCCGGUCGAUCCGGUCCCCCAUUGCUGGGCUUACGCAAGAAGACAGUGAGAUCGACCGAUCGAUCCAUCGGCGGCCUGCCGGCCGGCGACGUGCUGUGCAGAGCAGCUGGGUCCUCGCCGUCGCCGUCGCUGGCUAGUUGGCUGUGUAUAGCUAGUACCUCCUAGCUAUCUAGGUGCAGGCCAUCGCAUGCAUGAUCGGUCGAUCGAUGCAGAUGCAUGCAGUUAAUCAUCCAUGGUCCAUGGACCAGCAGCAGCAGCAGGGUGGCCACUGGCUAGUACGGCCAGAGGAUCGAUUUAUAUAUCAUCAUACCAUUGAUGGAGCUAGCCGUCCAGCUAUAGGCUGUGUUUAGUUCAGCGCAAAGUUUGAAUUUUGGUUGAAAUUGGAGAUGAUGUGACUAAAAAGUUGUGUGUGUAUGACAGAUUGAUGUGAUGGAAAAGGACUGAAGUUUGGAUCCAAACUUUGAAUCUAAACACAGCCAUAGAUGAAUACAAUCGAGGUUCACCUCUCC